GCUUCUUUCCUCCCGAGUGCUUGCACUCAAUUGGAAAGAGGAGUGGCGGACGGGUGAGUAACACGUGGGUAACCUACCCAUCAGAGGGGGAUAACACUUGGAAACAGGUGCUAAUACCGCAUAACAGUUUAUGCCGCAUGGCAUAAGAGUGAAAGGCGCUUUCGGGUGUCGCUGAUGGAUGGACCCGCGGUGCAUUAGCUAGUUGGUGAGGUAACGGCUCACCAAGGCCACGAUGCAUAGCCGACCUGAGAGGGUGAUCGGCCACACUGGGACUGAGACACGGCCCAGACUCCUACGGGAGGCAGCAGUAGGGAAUCUUCGGCAAUGGACGAAAGUCUGACCGAGCAACGCCGCGUGAGUGAAGAAGGUUUUCGGAUCGUAAAACUCUGUUGUUAGAGAAGAACAAGGACGUUAGUAACUGAACGUCCCCUGACGGUAUCUAACCAGAAAGCCACGGCUAACUACGUGCCAGCAGCCGCGGUAAUACGUAGGUGGCAAGCGUUGUCCGGAUUUAUUGGGCGUAAAGCGAGCGCAGGCGGUUUCUUAAGUCUGAUGUGAAAGCCCCCGGCUCAACCGGGGAGGGUCAUUGGAAACUGGGAGACUUGAGUGCAGAAGAGGAGAGUGGAAUUCCAUGUGUAGCGGUGAAAUGCGUAGAUAUAUGGAGGAACACCAGUGGCGAAGGCG
Molecule: ribosomal RNA, 684 nt
Filed under: uncultured Bacilli bacterium
Lineage: Bacteria; Bacillati; Bacillota; Bacilli
Description: bacterial SSU rRNA
Rfam family: Bacterial small subunit ribosomal RNA
Source: RNAcentral